UGUAGCUUAGUGGUAAUAGUGCUUGCUUAGCAAGCAUGAGGACCUGGGUUCAAUCCUCAGCA
This 62-nucleotide transfer RNA is filed under the name Ictidomys tridecemlineatus (thirteen-lined ground squirrel). RNAcentral describes it as "Spermophilus tridecemlineatus (thirteen-lined ground squirrel) tRNA". It matches the Rfam family "tRNA", at positions 6 to 65 of the family's 71-position model. Rfam says of the family: Transfer RNA (tRNA) molecules are approximately 80 nucleotides in length. Their secondary structure includes four short double-helical elements and three loops (D, anti-codon, and T loops). The record is from Rfam by way of RNAcentral. Lineage: Eukaryota; Metazoa; Chordata; Mammalia; Rodentia; Sciuridae.